UUGUAGGCGAGCACCACCUGUGGAUGCAGAGAUUCUGCGCACCAUGAAGAAGGUGGGCUUCAUUGGCUAUGCACCCAAUCCCCGCACCAGGCUGCGCAAUCAGAUACCUUACAGACUCAAGGAGUCAGACAGUGAAUUUGACAGCUUCAGCCAGGUCACUGAGUCACCAGUAGGACGAGAAGAGGAACCACAUCUCCACAUGGUUUCUAAGAAAUACCGCAAGGUGCUGGGGGACAUCAGGGCCUGUGGGAUGUGGGGAAGGGUACCCUGGGAAGGAAGUCAUAUGAGAAAGGAUUGAAGGACUCAGUCAGGAGGCCUUCACCUACCACCCUGGACCCAGGAGGAAGGUUCUAGGAAAGGCUGUGGCUACUGGAAAGAUCUGGGGACUCCGAGAAUAUCCUUGUCUUGCUCAGACAAUUUCUGCCUUAGGUGACCAUCAAAUAUUCCAAGCUAGGGCUGGAGGACUUUGACUUCAAACACUACAAUAAGACCUUGUUUGCUGGAUUA
This 507-nucleotide small RNA is filed under the name Pongo abelii (Sumatran orangutan). RNAcentral describes it as "retained intron". The record is from RNAcentral. Lineage: Eukaryota; Metazoa; Chordata; Mammalia; Primates; Hominidae.